AUGCAGUAUUGCUUUACUCUAGGAUUUCAUAUCCAGCUUAGGAAAUUUAUAUCAGUACCAUCUCCUUUUGUGCUUUACGUUCUGCAAAACUUUAGAAGCAUCUUCUGCAAACAGCAGAUGAUGAGAACAUUUCUAGUUUAUGAUGCGGAGGUUUCUCAGUCAGAGAGCUGGGGCAUGCUAGAUGAAGCCAAGAGUUUGGAAAAGAGAGAUUACAGGAUUCCUCAUUUAAAGGUUCUCUUGACUGUGGUGAUACAAUCCCUUUUUGGGACAUUUGGAGGACGUGCUACCUGCCACCGAGCCUGCUUGGAAAAAUUGCAGUGUGUCUUCACAGAUCGGCCUUCAGGGCUGACCUGCACCUGCCCAGCAAGGACUGCUCAUUCACUCCUGCUGUGGAUGCUUGAUGGAGCUGCGGGGUGCGACAGGCUGCUCAAGGAUGCUGGGGUCUUGCAGCAUUUUCCUAGUGAAAUUGGAGCAGGUCUGGUAUCCUCAUCUGUAAAACUGGUUUAACAGGAGUGUUCUGCCUUCAAAACAAGAGGAAAACUACUGCAGUUAAGAUAGUGAACUGCUACUAAACAGCUGGAUCUAUGCAAAUAUCCCAUCCAGUGACGCUGAUGUGGUGUCAGAGGAUGAGGUCACUGCCUCUUGUCACUUGGGUGAGCCUGAAGCUCUAUGAAAAUAAGAACACCAUGUAGCUCAUCUCCCAGUUUUACAGAAAAUAAAUACCUUUUCUGAAGCUGUGGAGGAUUUGUGCCCCUAUGUGCCCUUUUCUAUCAAUAAUCACAUUCCUGACAAAUGGGAAGUCCUUGGCAUGCUGUCUCUUUCUUCUUUUAUUACUUGUGUGGUGUCUCCAGCUCAUGUGAGGAUGUUUCAGCCCGGAAAGGUUGCUGAGCUCUUAAGUUUUUUGUUCCCAAAGAACCACUGCUGCAGUCCAUCCAAAUAUCUCUGUGCUCAGGCUUGAAGAUCCCUGCUGUCUAGAAGGGGGGUAGUGGGCUUGUCAAAGAGCCACAGAUGAUGCUGUGGAUGUGUUCAAGUUGUGGGCAAGCGUUCGUUUGGGACCCUUGGUGGCUGGUAGUGUUUAGUAGAGAAGCAAUAAAGGAUUAGAAAUUAUUGACUCCCAACCAUUAAGAAAGAGAAUAAAGUAAAUACUUGGGAAAUUAAUGACAAUGCAAUUUCCAUAGAGUUUUAUAUUUAAUUUACAUUUUUAUUAAAGGCUUCCUAGUCCCCUGCCCUACCCUUUUAAUUUUCUCCUGUGUUAAGCAAAGUUCUAUUUGUUCAAAACAGAUGACAAAGAGUCUUAUGAAACUCCUGUUCUUAAUAUCCUUGGAAUUCCUACAAUGCUUUGCUGAAAGUUGUAUCAAGAAAAUGUUAUUAAUACUUAUAACUGCUAAAACAUUAGCAUGUUCUUCAAAUUAUACUUCUGAUAGAAGUGACAAUUAAAAAAAACUCCUGCAAAGUGAGAUGUGUGGUUUUUUUAA
RNAcentral lists this long non-coding RNA (1475 nucleotides) under Ficedula albicollis (Collared flycatcher). RNAcentral describes it as "lncRNA (ENSFALG00000028364.1)". The record is from RNAcentral. Lineage: Eukaryota; Metazoa; Chordata; Aves; Passeriformes; Muscicapidae.